GGAGAGGUGGCAGAGUGGUCUAAUGCGCACGCUUGGAAAGCGUGUGUAGGGCAACCUACCGAGGGUUCGAAUCCCUCCCUCUCCGCCA
Molecule: transfer RNA, 88 nt
Filed under: Pseudomonadota bacterium
Lineage: Bacteria; Pseudomonadati; Pseudomonadota
Also listed under: 3 other names
Description: tRNA-Ser
Rfam family: tRNA
About the family: Transfer RNA (tRNA) molecules are approximately 80 nucleotides in length.
Source: RNAcentral